GACGAACGCUGGCGGCGUGCUUAACACAUGCAAGUCGAACGGAAAGGCCCUGCUUUUGUGGGGUGCUCGAGUGGCGAACGGGUGAGUAACACGUGAGUAACCUGCCCUUGACUUUGGGAUAACUUCAGGAAACUGGGGCUAAUACCGGAUAGGAGCUCCUGCUGCAUGGUGGGGGUUGGAAGGUUUGGGCGGUUGGGGAUGGACUCGCGGCUUAUCAGCUGGUUGGUGGGGUAGUGGCUUACCAAGGCUUUGACGGGUAGCCGGCCUGAGAGGGUGACCGGCCACAUUGGGACUGAGAUACGGCCCAGACUCCUACGGGAGGCAGCAGUGGGGAAUAUUGCACAAUGGGCGGAAGCCUGAUGCAGCAACGCCGCGUGCGGGAUGACGGCCUUCGGGUUGUAAACCGCUUUCGCCUGUGACGAAGCGUGAGUGACGGUAAUGGGUAAAGAAGCACCGGCUAACUACGUG
This 468-nucleotide ribosomal RNA is filed under the name uncultured bacterium. RNAcentral's name for it is "partial 16S ribosomal RNA". It matches the Rfam family "Bacterial small subunit ribosomal RNA", at positions 28 to 507 of the family's 1533-position model. The record is from RNAcentral.